GAAGAGAAGAGUGCAUUUGAUGUAUCAGUGGAGGGUUCUGUUUCAGACAUGAGUGGGCCAGAUCACUAGACAUUGUCACUGCCUCUCUUGGCCCCAAAGAGACCCUGAGACAAAGAUUUCAGGGUUUGCCCGCAGGUUCCGGGAGCUGCUUUGUCCAAACGUGCAGAAGUGACAGUGCUGGGCUCACAACUGUGAGGCGAACCUCACACUGCAGAGUUGCCCUGUGAGCGGAGACUGAAGGUACCGUGCGUGGUACCGAGAGCCCACCUUGCUUGGCUGCUCCCUUCCCUGUCCUACAUCCUCCACCUCCCAACUUUUUUCUCCUGGAAGCACGUCUCUAAUAAAUCACUUACACGUG
Long non-coding RNA from Lemur catta (Ring-tailed lemur), 358 nucleotides. RefSeq lists it as uncharacterized. The transcript is spliced from 2 exons. The record is from RefSeq and is a predicted model, not a curated record. NCBI's taxonomy places the organism in Eukaryota, Metazoa, Chordata, Mammalia, Primates, Lemuridae.